RNAcentral lists this long non-coding RNA (697 nucleotides) under Heterocephalus glaber (naked mole-rat). Its description in RNAcentral is "lncRNA (ENSHGLG00100041673.1)". The record is from RNAcentral. Lineage: Eukaryota; Metazoa; Chordata; Mammalia; Rodentia; Bathyergidae.
GCGAGAGGAGGGAGUCGUGGUGUGGACACUUUGUCGUGCGGAGGUAACCGACCCACCGAGCUUCGGUCCUCGAAACCAUCUCCGUCCCCCUGCUGUAUUCAGCCCCCGCCCAGGCAAUUGGUUGCCCAGUGCACACAUUUUAUAGUGGGGAAACUGAGGGCCAGAGAGGCAGCAGGAUCCUUCCUAUGUGAGAGAAGAGCAGCCGCAGCGGAAGCAGCAGGAAGAGCCAGAAGCCCAAAACAGCACACUGGAGCCAGCCAACCAAUACUUGCUAGAUCCUGGGUACACAUAGUACCCACACCUGUGACCUCUGCCCAGUGCUUGGAAGUUGGGGGCAGAUGCUCUGGGGUGCAGAACUGCAGAUCAGGAAUCACGGAGAACAAGCAGACAAAUAGCAAGACAUUGGCAGCAAGACUUCGGUAUCUUUUAAAAUUAGCAACAAGUAGAAACCCUUGAAAGAAGUCAGAGAAGAAACCAUCUUGGUAGUGAAAUUGGUGUACGCAAUACGUUGGACUCCCCUUCAGAAACCAUCACUGCUGGCCCGAGCUGGGGCUGAGGCGGCCACCCCGCGCCGGAAGUUGCAGGCCGGCGGGAGCUCAGAGCUCCGCGUUCAGUCCCAGCUCCCGCCAGCGGCAAGGAGGACGUAGUCUACACCUGAGGCCAGGUGGGCGGCAGGACCUGGGGAGGUCGCAACGAG